This 274-nucleotide ribosomal RNA is filed under the name uncultured bacterium. RNAcentral's name for it is "partial 16S ribosomal RNA". It matches the Rfam family "Bacterial small subunit ribosomal RNA", at positions 523 to 796 of the family's 1533-position model. The record is from RNAcentral.
AUACGGAGGGUGCAAGCGUUGUCCGGAUUUACUGGGUGUAAAGGGCGCGUAGGCGGACUUGUUAGUCAGAGGUGAAAUCCUGCGGCUUAACCGUAGAACUGCCUUUGAUACUGCAAGUCUUGAGUUCGUAAGAGAGAGAUGGAAUUCCAGGUGUAGUGGUGAAAUACGUAGAUAUCUGGAAGAACACCAGUGGCGAAGGCGGUCUCUUGGUCCGUAACUGACGCUGAGGCGCGAAAGCGUGGGGAGCAAACAGAAUUAGAAACCCUAGUAGUCC